This is a non-coding RNA of Sus scrofa (pig), 70 nucleotides long. The record is from RefSeq and is marked provisional. NCBI's taxonomy places the organism in Eukaryota, Metazoa, Chordata, Mammalia, Artiodactyla, Suidae.
GACGGUUUGGACGUUAAGAACAAUUCAUAUAUUUUAUUAUAUGAAUCCUUCUUAACGUCCAAACCGUUCC